This 253-nucleotide ribosomal RNA is filed under the name uncultured bacterium. Its description in RNAcentral is "partial 16S ribosomal RNA". It matches the Rfam family "Bacterial small subunit ribosomal RNA", at positions 524 to 776 of the family's 1533-position model. The record is from RNAcentral.
UGCGUAGGGGGCUAGCGUUGUCCGGAAUCAUUGGGCGUAAAGCGCGCGUAGGCGGCCAGAUUAGUCCGGUGUGAAAGUCAGAGGCUCAACCUUUGAAUGCCGCUGGAAACUGUCUGGCUUGAGUCCGGAAGGGGCGAGUGGAAUUCCUGGUUUAGCGGUGAAAUGCGCAGAUAUCAGGAGGAACACCAAUGGCGAAGGCAGCUCGCUGGAACGGUACUGACGCUGAGGCGCGAAAGCGUGGGGAGCAAACAGG